UGCCACUCUGAGAGAUGUCUACCCUCUCCA
RNAcentral lists this non-coding RNA (30 nucleotides) under Mus musculus (house mouse). The record is from RNAcentral. Lineage: Eukaryota; Metazoa; Chordata; Mammalia; Rodentia; Muridae.